This is a long non-coding RNA of Gadus macrocephalus (Pacific cod), 1073 nucleotides long. RefSeq lists it as uncharacterized. NCBI's taxonomy places the organism in Eukaryota, Metazoa, Chordata, Actinopteri, Gadiformes, Gadidae. The record is from RefSeq and is a predicted model, not a curated record. The transcript is spliced from 3 exons.
GGUUGUUGUGUCCUGGUCCUUUCAGCAGACCAACAACAGGUACAGCUGAGAGGAAGGGCAGUGUUGUUAUUCAGAUGGUCGUGUUACUGACGGGGCCGGGGUCGUCGUUCAGGGAGUCUGACGACCCGGUGAAGACACAGGCGAUGAACCGGCUCAGCAUCUACGUCACACCUGUUUCCUCCAUUUUGGAUGUGGGAUAAUUUCAGCUGGACUUGGACCACCAUCUUCAUGAAGACAUACUUUCGUCAUGAAGAGUACAACUCAAAAGCUCUGUUCAAUGAUUGCUCUGUUCACAACAGGAUUUGCAACCAGUGGCAACCUGGGCAUCGUUCCUCCCUCACGGGGCCCAUUCCACCCCGGUCCAGCAGAGGGCGCCUCCCCUCAUCCCGACACGCUACUAUUAAGGGAUUUACACCCUUUUAUUAAAAGGGACUUACAGUGAAAUCACGUCAGUAGCAGGUCAGGGAUCAGCAUCUUUCACAGGGAUACCAAGGUGGAGGGAAAAUCCUACCCCUUGUAUGUAAACAGCACAUCACUUACUAACUGACUAUCUGAAGUCUUUUCUCCAAAAUCUGUUAUAUAUAAAGUCUACGUCAUAAAUACAUAUGUAACUAUCAUGUAACUACUAUGAUAGUUAUACUAUAACUAUUACACAAUACAGGCCCUGCUGUCACAGCCAAUAGCCAAAUAUCCACAACAUUUGAGUAGAUUUCCUAUACGGUAGCAUAGAUCUCACUUUGGCUGUGGGACCUUUAAUGAAUCCUACCCUAUUACCCACCUUUUAUAGGCCAUGAAGACCACAUUGGGUCACAUUAUGAAUAGUGAUGGAAAUCCACCUGUGUGUGUUAUCCAGUAAUAACACAUUAACAUAGUCUUCACAAAAGUUUGUAUUGUUCACUGAUUGCAGAAUACAUUAUUUUAUAUUAUCUAGGAAAACUUCUUAAAUUGUCAUGGUAUGAGUGGCUAGUCGUGGUGACAUCUCUCUCUCUCUCUCUCUCUCUCUCUCUCUCUCUCUCUCUCUCUCUCUCUCUCUCUCUCUCUCUCUCUCUCUCUCUCUCUCUCUCUCUCUCUCU